GAAACUUAAAGGAAUUGGCGGGGGAGCACAGCAACGGGAGGAGCGUGCGGUUUAAUUGGAUUCAACGCCGGAAAACUCACCGGAGGCGACGGUUACAUGAAGGCCAGGCUGAUGACCUUGCCUGAUUUUCCGAGAGGUGGUGCAUGGCCGCCGUCAGUUCGUACCGUAAGGCGUUCUGUUAAGUCAGAUAACGAACGAGACCCUCAUCCUUAAUUGCUACUAAUGACCUCGGUUGUUAGGCACAUUAAGGAGACCGCUGACGAUAAGUCAGAGGAAGGCGAGGGCAACGGUAGGUCAGUAUGCCCUGAAUCCUCCGGGCUACACGCGCGCUACAAAGGCCAGGACAAUGGGUUUCGACACCGAAAGGUGGAGGUAAUCCCGAAACCUGGUCAUAGUUCGGAUUGAGGGCUGAAAACUCGCCCUCAUGAAGCUGGAUUCCGUAGUAAUCGCGGAUCAACAUCCCGCGGUGAAUAUGCCCCUGCUCCUUGCACACACCGCCCGUCAAACCAUGCGAGUUGGGUUCAAGUGAGGAUGUAGUAUUUUGCUGCGUUCAAACUUGGGCUUAGCAAGCGGGGUUAAGUCGUAACAA
RNAcentral lists this ribosomal RNA (589 nucleotides) under uncultured euryarchaeote. Its description in RNAcentral is "bacterial SSU rRNA". It matches the Rfam family "Archaeal small subunit ribosomal RNA", at positions 851 to 1441 of the family's 1478-position model. Lineage: Archaea; Methanobacteriati; Methanobacteriota. The record is from RNAcentral.